GACGAACGCUGGCGGCGUGCCUAAUACAUGCAAGUAGAACGCUGAAGAGAGGAGCUUGCUCUUCUUGGAUGAGUUGCGAACGGGUGAGUAACGCGUAGGUAACCUGCCUUGUAGCGGGGGAUAACUAUUGGAAACGAUAGCUAAUACCGCAUAACAAUAGGUGACACAUGUCAUUUAUUUGAAAGGGGCAAUUGCUCCACUACAAGAUGGACCUGCGUUGUAUUAGCUAGUAGGUGAGGUAACGGCUCACCUAGGCGACGAUACAUAGCCGACCUGAGAGGGUGAUCGGCCACACUGGGACUGAGACACGGCCCAGACUCCUACGGGAGGCAGCAGUAGGGAAUCUUCGGCAAUGGGGGCAACCCUGACCGAGCAACGCCGCGUGAGUGAAGAAGGUUUUCGGAUCGUAAAGCUCUGUUGUAAGUCAAGAACGAGUGUGAGAGUGGAAAGUUCACACUGUGACGGUAGCUUACCAGAAAGGGACGGCUAACUACGUGCCAGCAGCCGCGGUAAUACGUAGGUCCCGAGCGUUGUCCGGAUUUAUUGGGCGUAAAGCGAGCGCAGGCGGUUUGAUAAGUCUGAAGUUAAAGGCUGUGGCUCAACCAUAGUUCGCUUUGGAAACUGUCAAACUUGAGUGCAGAAGGGGAGAGUGGAAUUCCAUGUGUAGCGGUGAAAUGCGUAGAUAUAUGGAGGAACACCGGUGGCGAAAGUGGCUCUCUGGUCUGUAACUGACGCUGAGGCUCGAAAGCGUGGGGAGCGAACAGG
RNAcentral lists this ribosomal RNA (765 nucleotides) under uncultured Streptococcus sp. Its description in RNAcentral is "bacterial SSU rRNA". It matches the Rfam family "Bacterial small subunit ribosomal RNA", at positions 28 to 776 of the family's 1533-position model. The record is from RNAcentral. Lineage: Bacteria; Bacillati; Bacillota; Bacilli; Lactobacillales; Streptococcaceae.